Molecule: ribosomal RNA, 497 nt
Filed under: uncultured bacterium
Lineage: Bacteria
Description: partial 16S ribosomal RNA
Rfam family: Bacterial small subunit ribosomal RNA
Source: RNAcentral
GAUGAACGCUGGCGGCGUGCCUAAUACAUGCAAGUCGAGCGAACAGACGAGGAGCUUGCUCCUCUGACGUUAGCGGCGGACGGGUGAGUAACACGUGGAUAACCUACCUAUAAGACUGGGAUAACUUCGGGAAACCGGAGCUAAUACCGGAUAAUCUAUUGAACCGCAUGGUUCAAUAGUGAAAGACGGUUUUGCUGUCACUUAUAGCUGGAUCCCCGCCGCAUUAGCUAGUUGGUAAGGUAACGGCUUACCAAGGCAACGAUGCGUAGCCGACCUGCGCGGGUGAUCGGCCAAACUGAGACUGAGACACGGUACAGACGCCUAGGGGAGGCAGCAGCAGGGAAUCUCCCGGAAAGGGCGAAAGCCUGACGGAGCAACGCCGCAUGAGUGAUGAAGGUAUUCGGAUCGUGAAACUGUGUUAUUAGGGAAGACCAACUGUGUAAGUAACUACGCACGUCUUGACGGUACCUAAUCAGAAAGCCACGGCUAACUACGUG